UAUGAUGCUGCGGAGACUGUAGGGAGUCUGCAUGAAUAGAAAUUUGCGAAUGGGGAGCUUGUGUACAUUAUUUUGCAAGCAUGCAGGUGCGCGACAAUCCAUGUAGGUGGGGGAUUUUUGCUUGUGAGACAUACAAGCGCCCGUGAGACAUGCAAAUGGCCAUAGGUGCACGAAAAAUGGGCCCUCUCAUGCGGGCAGCAAGACCCAGGCAUGGGGCUUCGACCAUGUGGCUAGUCCAUAUGUGUAUGCUGGUGCUGGUGUCCGUGAACGGGGGUUUUCU
RNAcentral lists this long non-coding RNA (280 nucleotides) under Carica papaya (papaya). RNAcentral's name for it is "long non-coding RNA (CPAP_LNC002783)". Lineage: Eukaryota; Viridiplantae; Streptophyta; Magnoliopsida; Brassicales; Caricaceae. The record is from RNAcentral.